Aquila chrysaetos chrysaetos is the source of this 2043-nucleotide long non-coding RNA. RefSeq lists it as uncharacterized. NCBI's taxonomy places the organism in Eukaryota, Metazoa, Chordata, Aves, Accipitriformes, Accipitridae. The transcript has 3 exons. The record is from RefSeq and is a predicted model, not a curated record.
GCCGCUGGAGGAGGGCGGCCUGUGGCGGGGGGGGGACGGGGACACGGACACGGGACACCCGGUGGGACUCGCCCCGCGGGGGAACGGCGCCGAGUUGGCGCUCAGAAACGCGAAGGCAGCGUCUGGAUUUGGGCGUCCUGCAGGAAAACCACGUGCAAGCCAGGCUCGCUCCCACAACGCCCACCCGAGUCAGGGCGGCCCGACUGGAGAGACACACCCCCCCCCCCCCCCCCCACGGCACGGCCCCCGGGCACCAGAGCCACAGAGCUUUUGCACUGGCAGUUCCCAAAUGCAGCAUUUCAAAGAAAAAAAAAAAAAAAUGGGAAAGAUUGGAAAAGAAAUGUGAGGGGGGAAAAACCUGUAAGCGCCGAUUCAGCCAGGGCUGAACUCAGUGCGAAUUCUGCCUUUGGCUCCAGUGUUAAUGCCAACAAUGCUGCUUUCUUCUGCUAAGCUCAGAAACUAUUUCAGAUGGAGAAAUUCCCGGUUUUGUUUCAAACCGACCGCUUUAAAAUGGAGUGACCCCCUUCACUUUUUAGACAGGUAAAGGGAAAAACCAUCAUCUCUUCCCCGAGUGCUCAGCGUACCAAGUUUUAGUCAAGACGGAGAUUAAAUUAUUUUCUUUUUCCUGGGAAAUAAACCUGUGAAAACAGAGGUUUAUAAUAAAAAUGCUGAAACAAGCUUAACUGUAGUGGUGCAAAGUAGCUGCAAUCAUACUCGGUGAAUCCUGUUACUGGGAGAUAAAGACAGCUUCAGUGUUAUCUUCUAAGAAAGCAUAUUUUCCCAUAAUUCUUGAUAGCUCUGAUUUAGGAUUUGGGAGUCUCUGAAGAGUCCCCAGCUGGGGCCUGCGCUCCCGAGAGAUGCUGCCAGGAAGAUCGCACCGAGAAGCAGACAGGCUACCAACCCAAAUCUGCAAAAAGCUUUCCUACAAAGCUGUAGAAAUCAGACAAGAUGGAUGGUGUCAGGAGUCAGGUCAGGCACGGUGGCACUCGCUGAGACACCUCUGACGGCUCCAGCAUGAGCCUGGCACCGCGAGACCUCUCUUCGCUUCCUGGUUUUGCCACAAAAUUUCAGGGUGAGCUGGGGCUGCUCGCUCGGCCUCAGGCUCUUCAGCCACGGAAAGGGACACACGGGAGCUUCAGUAACACCUGAGGUCCUUGGACAAUCUGAGCGACACGGACGCAUCAGUCUGCUCUGCCUAGUUUUGGACUAUAGUGUAAUUUCACUCAUUGCCUGGCCAGAACUCAGGCAUUUGCCUGUGCAGUCACAUUUAAAUCUUUCCUUUUAUUCCUCACUGCAACACUUGAGCAUUAGUUAAAAGAUUUGAGCGACGCCGCAUAAUCAUUACAGUGCAGCACUAAGGGUAAAUUCAUAAAAUGUAAUUGGGAAGAGAGAUCCAUGUGAGAAGUAAGUAACCCUAAGAGUCAAAUCAUUUUCUUCCAAAAGUGGUUGAGGCUAUCUAAGGAAAAAUGAAACAAAAAACUCCAGAACUCCCCAAAGCUUUGUUAACUAAACAGUUGUCCAUUAAAGAGACCAAAUAUUUCACAGCAUUAGUCUUUGGAUUAAUGUUAAAUCGAUAGGCACUAACGCAAUAGGGCAAUAGUUACCAUGGUGAAUAAUUCUAUAUUUAUUUUCAAGCAAGCCUUAUUUCUAACAAUUCCAGACAUGGUUUCCACUUUCUGGUGACUAACCUCUUUUAAGUUUAUUUUUUUUAACUAUUUGGUACCAGAAACUCAAGUUUUCUUCCUGACAAUUAGAACAAGGUCACUGCCACGACAGAGAACAAUGCCGGGCAGGGAUGCGGAUGCUCGCCAGUUUUAGCUGAGGGCUUGUUUGCCUUUGAAAAUCAGAACAGCUACAUCUCGGGUACGAUUUAAAGCGCAGGAGAUGAUACUGUGAAUUAAGUCUUUGGUAGACAAGCUCUCAUCCUUGUUUGGAACGGCGGGAGCAUUUUCCUUCCAAGGCUUCAUCCCAUUUGCUAAAGUGUCAAUAACCUACCUCAAACAAUAUUCCACCUAAAAGGCUCCGAAAUACCCUCCCUCCUCG